UAAUUUUAUAUUUCUGUUUUUUUGUAAUCAUAGUUGUGUUUAAUAUUAAUUUAAUUCAGUAUAAUUUUUGGUAACUAUAUUAAAUAUGUCAAGUUGCAUAACUAUACAUUUGUAUCAUAUGCAUUUCUGAAAUUAUUUUAAAAUUAUAUUCAUAAAAUUCAAUAUAAUUUUUGGUAACUAUAUUAAAUAUGUCAAAAUACUUUGUAAGAGGAUAAUAUAUAUUAGACUAUAUUAAAAAAAUACUCGAUUCUAAACCGGAUGGAUAGAAAGUUAUAAGGGUGAUCGAUUACAUUCGCCGGUAUGGCAUGCAAUAAAAAAAUUCUGACAUCAACGUGAUUUUCAAUUCAAAACAAACAAACAAGCAAUAGCGCUUUCAAAAAAAAAAAAAAACAAGCAAUAGUUAUACGAACUCUCAUUGCGAGACAAAAAGCCACAUGAACAAGUACAUUAAACACACGUGUGUAAAAUCUAAACACACGUGCACAAUAAGUGAUGGGAAAAUAAUUGAACUUUGAUAAUGGACGACUCUGAAAAACAAUACUCGACACAUCAUUGUUUUGGGUCAUUUCCUCCCGACAAAGAAAACGACUGAACAGAAAUGUUGUAACAAUGCUCCUGCCAAAUUCAGUCGUUAUAUUCGCCGAACUUAGUCUAAUUUUAUUAUUGCACUAAUAGUAACGUGUACGCGUAACUU
RNAcentral lists this long non-coding RNA (694 nucleotides) under Brassica rapa (field mustard). RNAcentral's name for it is "long non-coding RNA (BRAP_LNC007346)". The record is from RNAcentral. Lineage: Eukaryota; Viridiplantae; Streptophyta; Magnoliopsida; Brassicales; Brassicaceae.